Cavia porcellus (domestic guinea pig) is the source of this 1743-nucleotide long non-coding RNA. RefSeq lists it as uncharacterized. The record is from RefSeq and is a predicted model, not a curated record. The transcript has 2 exons. Lineage: Eukaryota; Metazoa; Chordata; Mammalia; Rodentia; Caviidae.
UUUAAAAUAAUGUCCUGGUGCAGCAGCCACAGUCAGCCAGCGUCUGGAACAGUUCGGCGCCGACCGCCGCUCUCGCCGCCUGGGCUGCAGCUCCUGGCGGGCUCUCUCUGGGCCCGCGCCCCUCGGCUCCUGGUCUUCCUGGCCCAGUCCGCCGCCCGGCGCGUCUCUCCCCAGCUCCAGCGGCUCGGUCACUGCUCCUGGCUGUUGGCUGAGCUCUGGAAGCCCCCUCGCCUUAAUGCAGCGCUCGCCGACGUCACGGCGGCCCGCGACCAAUCAGCGCCUCGCCGUCCCUCUGUAAACCAUUCUGCAUCCCUCGGCCGGGGAGAGUGAGGGGAGACCGCGUUUAGAGGAUCAGUGGCGGCGGCACCCGCGGCCCCGCGCGGCGCGGGCUACGGGCGGCGAGGUGCCUGGCCCCCUCCUACUCCGGAAACAGCCACAGCACCUCGCUCUGAAGAACCAGCCAUAGCACUCGCUGUGGAGUGUCUGAUUUCAGAGGAGAGAAGAUGACACACUUGGCAUUCUCCUCCUAACUUGCUGGAGCCCAAGCUAUCUGAAAAACUAGUCCUGAUGACUGCUUCAUUGAUGGUGGAAGAGGAUUUGGGGAGCAGAGAACUUGGGGAAUGAAGUUUGGGUGAGUUCAGUUGCUGUUCAAGUCGGACUUGGCUUCCUCUGCCUCUAGGCUUGGUCUUUCUCCAUAGGAGAAAGGGUAGCAAGGGAAGCGUCUACCUCAGAAGCUCCGGCAGAGGAAGGAGCUCCUCAUCUCAGUCUUGUCAAGAGGAAGCUGGGGAUGGUAAUGACACCCGCUAGAGAGCGGAGCACCGAGGUUCCACGUGAGAUCCUGGCCCUGCCUCCGGAGAUGAGCAAGUCUUUGGCAAGUUUGAGACACCUGCAAGCGCCAUUUAUUCAUCAUCUCUGUGGACUAAAUUCGGUUUCUUUUUACUGCCUGGUGUCUGGCGAGGAAGCAUUUUCCAGCUUGUGUUACGUUCACGGGUAGUUCUACCAUCUUUUUGCUCAUGUCCUAGUUUGGCUUUACAGAUGGACACGCAGCAUUCCCAGCUCUAGUUUUGCUUUCCCUCAGGCCGUUUGUCACGGAGCGGCACUGCACUCUGGCCCACUAGCUGGCACCCGUUCUGGAGGGUGAGCUGGCAGGCCUGUGCCUGUGUGCAAGCUUUUCGCAGUCAGGUUCCGGGAAGAAUAUACCUUCCCUUUAAGUAAGAGAAGUGGGGAGCUGUUUCUAUGAACCUCUUCAGGAAGGAUUUACCACGCAAUUGAUAAGUGCAGUGCUCUUUUUCCUCCUUCUGAAUGAAUAACUUUGUCAGUCAACCUGAGGGGCCACAAAACCUAUAAAAAUGCUUCUUUGGUCCCCCUGUUUUAACACAUGCUGGGGCCUGGGUCUGCCUCUGACAGACUGGGAGGAGUAGACACAUUCCAGAGAUCAGGUCUUGGUCUUAUCUCUUCCCCUGCCCCAAAUCCUCACCCUCUGCCUUAUCUCUUUUUACUACAAAUGCAGAGACCGCCUAGGGAAGUGUGAAGGGAUGGGUUUUAAUCAGGUUUGGGGGAGGAGGGGCAAUAAGAAAGAUGAGAACAGUUGGAGUUUUUUAGAUGACACUCUUCUGUCCUACUUCUUGUGUGUUGUGUAUUGUAUCCUACAAAUUAUGAAUUGGUUGUAAUCUGCAGUGCAUAUGUGCAUUUGCCAAAUGCUGCUUGGACAAAACAGUGUUAAAUAAAAUGGUAAGAAAUCUA